UGAUAACUAUCAAUUAUUCCAUAUAAUGUACUUAUUCCAUAAUAUUUUUCUGGUUUAUGUAUGUAACAAACUAACAUUAACAACAUAGAUAUAUAUUCUCAGAAACAUUUACAUAGUAUAUAAAUUUUUAUGUGUAACGUAACUCUAAUGGCAUAAUGAACGAACUUAUAUAUAAUAAAUAAACCGGCAAAAAAAAAAGAGAAGAAGAAGAGAAGUUUCUGAAAAAUUAUAUAUCUCAGAAGAAAAGAAAAAAGAAUUUUAUAGAAAAAAAAAGAAGAAGAAGAAGAAAGAGUUACAAGAAGAUUCAGCGCCGGCAGCGAGUGAUGACGCUGCAGCCACGACGGUAAGGGUUGGCCUG
This 358-nucleotide long non-coding RNA is filed under the name Capsella grandiflora. Its description in RNAcentral is "long non-coding RNA (CGRA_LNC000578)". The record is from RNAcentral. Lineage: Eukaryota; Viridiplantae; Streptophyta; Magnoliopsida; Brassicales; Brassicaceae.